CUUGGUUUUCAAUAUUUCUUCAAGAUUGAGAUUUGAGCUUAGUUUGAGAUUUGGUGUUGGAGGAGAAGGGAUUGAGCAAGGGUUUGAAGAAUUGACUAAGGUUAUUUGAACUUGGAGAAGUCGUUGCUAGAGUUGUGGUGAAGCUUUUGCUCAAGCGAGGUGAUAUAGGUACUAGCGCUAGUGCUCCGACUACGGAUCAGCAGGGAGGAGCGUGACGCGGAUGGCCUGGACUUGUGGUGAUUUGUUGUUUAUUUUGUGUGGUCUUUGAUUAGUCUUAGGCUUAAUGGUAUAUUGGGAUAUAUACGAAAUGUGUGGGAUGAAUGAUGAUUUUGGAUGGUUAGGCUUGAUGCCUGGGUAUGUAUGUGUGUAUGAUGAAUUAUGUUUGAUAUGAUAUGGCCGGAGGCCCUGGAUAUUUAGUUUGGUGUUAUGGGAAUUGUGUGUUUUAAAUUGUUAUGUUUUAUGCAGGAGGCAUUCUCCGAUAUACGGGGAGGUGCUGCCGAAUUUUUGUUU
Long non-coding RNA from Tripterygium wilfordii, 510 nucleotides. RefSeq lists it as uncharacterized. NCBI's taxonomy places the organism in Eukaryota, Viridiplantae, Streptophyta, Magnoliopsida, Celastrales, Celastraceae. The record is from RefSeq and is a predicted model, not a curated record. The transcript has 4 exons.